CCUACGGGGGGCAGCAGUGGGGAAUAUUGGACAAUGGGGGCAACCCUGAUCCAGCCAUGCCGCGUGAGUGAUGAAGGCCCUAGGGUUGUAAAGCUCUUUUGUGCGGGAAGAUAAUGACGGUACCGCAAGAAUAAGCCCCGGCUAACUUCGUGCCAGCAGCCGCGGUAAUACGAAGGGGGCUAGCGU
This 186-nucleotide ribosomal RNA is filed under the name uncultured bacterium. Its description in RNAcentral is "partial 16S ribosomal RNA". It matches the Rfam family "Bacterial small subunit ribosomal RNA", at positions 338 to 541 of the family's 1533-position model. The record is from RNAcentral.